ACAUGGCUCCUGGGAGCAAUAAACUCUGGUGUGAUAUAUGCUGGAAUUUAUCGCUGCAUGAUAAUAGCAUGUGCAAAUGCUCCCAGUGUCUCUUUUAAGCAGAUAUUUUUAACAAGUUAUAUCACUAUUGAAUUCAGAUCCUAGCCAUCACAUUUCCAACGUGCCUCUUACUGUAGGUGACAAUUUCAAGCCUUUGGUUCAGUUUGUUCUGUUUCACUGAACCUCCCACUCCAGGCACAGCUUUUUGUUGUAGUAGGAGUGAUAGGGAAGGGCAGAGAAAAGAGACACUCUUUAAGAUGAGCUGGAAGACCAGCCUUUUGGGCUAGUUUUUUUCCUUUGCUUCAUUUUCCUAUAGCAAGCAUGUUGCCAUUUAUAUGAAACUCUGUUGGGUUUCUCCUUUCUACCCUUCACACUCUCAGAUUCCAGCAGUGGCUUUAUAUGACCUUUUUAGUGUCUGUGGCCACAUGCAAUCAUAGCAGCUGGAUGCAGUGCUUAAGUGGUCUUUGAUGUUUGCCAAGAGAACCCCUGGAGUAGUGGAACCAAAACUGGAUUUAAUGAUAAAUAAAACAAUGCAAAUGAGAGGAAAUUCUAUAGAGGAAGUCUUAUAGACUCCAAUUGGGAUGAAUCCAGUAGGGGUCCAGAUAUAUUAAACUAAAAUCUUUAAAACUGUGGCAAGAAUGAAACCUCAUCUGUAGAAUGUUAAAUGUUCCUAUGUCAUAUAAGUUCUAUCCCUGCAAUAGGGAAUUUAUCAUUCCCUGUCUGGUUUCAUAGCAUUUUCCACAUGCAGAAUUUUUUUUCAGUUAGCAGUUUAUUUCUUGACUUAUUCAAUAUGAUGGGCAGCUGUUCACUGACAAGGACAAAGAAAAACUGCGGUAAAAAAGCAGACCCUUACAUCUCUCUGAACAAUGGAUAGGAAGCCUAAUGAUUUUCUUCAGUUGCUCCUGUUUCUUCCUUGAGCUCCAACUCAGCUGAAGGGCUGGUGUGGGCACUGACCAAUCAAGGACAGAAGGGACCACCUGAAAUGGCUCCACUGCUUAUAGUUGCAUACCUUUCUACGCUCAAUUAAUGUGGGCCAUUGACCCCUUUCCUGCUCCUUCACCAGAGGUUCUGGACAAGUGGUUUACUGGAUAUUUCUAUUAGAGUGAUCAGCAAGAGCUGACAUUUAAGUGAACCUUUUCAGGCUUCUGUUGUUACCCAUUCAGAUGACAGCUAUUGUUGCAGGCAGAAGAAGGCAAGGUAGAGAUGCACCUUAUAGACUAACUUCAUCAGAAAUGCAUAAGUUUUUGUGAGCCACAGUUCAUGUCAUCAGAUGCUGUGAAAAAGACCCUAAGAUAACUCUGUAUAAAGGUCCCAUUUAGAAAGCAGCUUAAAAACAAACAAGCAAACAAAAAAACCCCCACCACUAAACAUAAAAAGCCUGUAAGGUCUACAAGCAGUAUUGUUAUUAUAUGCAAGUUUUGAUUCUGUAGACACUACCCAAAACUUAAGAGAGCACUGUCUGCCCCCUUGGCUCAAAGCAUUGCUAAUUCUGAGUGUACUUUUGGGGCCAGGUAAGGUAUAAUAUAUUAGCUAGCCAGGUCUUUCUCUCAGCCUAGAAGGGCUCCUGCUGAUGAAAGGUAGCAGGAGGGGAAAUGAUUUUUUCCCCCCAGAAGUUGCUUUCAUCCUGCAUAAUCAUGGCUGGGCUUGCAUUGUUCCCAGCUUUGAGAUUUAUGUCGAGGGCUGUGAGGCUGCGGGUUGUGGUCGUAUGUUCUAGGAGCUGUGUGGAAAAUGGUAUUGCUUGUUUGAUUUGGCCUAAGAAAGUGUAUUUUACUUUGUAUAACAUUUCUGAUUUUUUUCUCUAUUCUGUGCUGCACACCUGGUCAAAGUUUGGGUUUAUGUGCUAAAACUGAGCCCAUCAAGCUUAGCCCAUUAGAGCCAUCAAACUAGCAGAGUAUGUGGGAGCAUAUUUCCUAGUCUCUCAAAUGAAUAUUUUAAUAUUCUUUUGAAGUGACAGCUUUCUCUCCAUUUCAGUGCUAUUCUUCAUCCUGCUCCUGUCUUGUUGGUCCCUGACUGGGAUCCCACUUGCUGAAGUAUCCCAACUUAGGAAAGGAUUUAAGUAUUAACUAAUCUCAUUGACUUCAGUGAGACUAGGUUUAUGCUUUCCUGUACUGGUACUUGUGUUUGUUUAAGUUUUCCAUUGUCCCAUUGCAAGUGCUGUUUCCUUUGUUCCAUCCAACCUGGUCAUUUAAGUUUAGUCUUACCUCCACUGAGACAUAAGAUGAGAGACGUGUAUCCCCUUAUUGCAUCACUUGGCUCAUUGGUGUUUCCCCAAAGACCCCAAUUAAUUUUUUUACCCUCUCAUAUAUUUAUAACUAUGAUUCAGAUUAUUCUUCAUCCUUUUGACAUAUAAUUCUUUAUUAUACCCUGAUAGGGAAAGUUUACCACUUUUUUUAAAUGUAGAUUUUUGGAGCAUGGUUUUGUCUUUGUUAAAAUAAUAAUCUAAAAUACAAUUAGAAACAGCUGACUAGGUUUCAGGUUAAGAUAGAGGUAUGGUAGCACUGAACAAAUUAUAUUCUGGCCCCAGUUAGCAAAUUGUUAUGGAAAAGGUGACAUAUUUUGAACUAUGAUGCAUUGAAGUUCUAUUAAUUGCUGCUGCCUGCCCAUGAGGGGCAGAUGUUUGUGACAUUUCCUUAAAGGAGCAGUUCUUUGACUUCCUGGCUGAUGGAAAGCUGUGCCUUGCUGUGGAGAUAUAACACCUCCCUAUACUGUAUUUCACUGGUUUUACCAGAGAACUAUUUUUGUCCUUUGAUGCCCUUACCACGGCAAAUACAUGUCUUCCAGUUCAUAUCAAUGUUUUUGUGAAUAUCUGUGAUCUUUUCAGGAAGAUUUUUGUUUGGAUUGUAUGCUCUGUCCACUCUGCUGCACCAUCCUGUGUUUAUUGUCGUAGCAUCAACAACCAUGUUGUAUUUUGGAAGGAGAAGGAAUAUAUCUUUCACAUAUAACCAACUUCUCUGAAAUGGAUUAGAGGUUUUAAAAAUGCAUGGCAAGAAUUUUGUUUAAAUAUUUCUGGAGACUUAGUUUGGCAAUUUACAUUUCUUUCGUCAAGUUACAGGCAUUAGUUACACUGUGAUUUCAGGAACAAGUACUAUGACUGAAGCCAACUCUUUGUGGCAAGAGGAGCCGAUUGGAUGUGAGGAAGUCAAGAACUAUGCAGUGACUAUUUUUGUAAGCGUCAGACACCCAGUUAAACACAGAAAGCCCUUUGCUGACCCUGCUACUGUGGUACUGCUGUUUUGCAAAGCUGGAGUCGACACGCAUGUAGGGGUGGGGUUGUAAACUCUGGCGAUUUGUCCUUCCCAAUUAGAUGUGACUGUUCUGCUAGCUUUCCCUUCUUUAUUCCUUUUGUUUAGUUUGUUUUGGGAGUUGUUGGGGUUCUUUUCUUUUGAUCCUGGAAGGUUAGCGGUGCAAUUUGGUUUCUUCUGUGCCAACCAAUUUUAGUAGCACAGAGCUCUUAAAAACACAAUACUGCUUCUUUCCUCUUCUCUAUGUUCUGCUCCUCUUUCUCCAGCUAAGUUUUCGAAUUGCUCCUCUAUUUGUAGCUCUUUGGUCACUAGGAAGGGAAGCUUUGAAAUGGGAAUAAAAUCUCCUUUCAAACCAGGUCCUUUAAUCAGGUUGAAUUAAACUGCCAAUUGAAACCUAGUCCAAUUUCUAUUGAGAUGGAUGGGUUCUCUCUGAAAUUGGGAAUGUUUCUGAUUUCUUCCUUUCUCUCAUUUUCUUUCAAAGAACAUUUUUAAGAGCUCUGAAAAAAACUGCUUUGCAGAUGGGAAAAUGGGUGGGGUUGAAUCUUAUUUUUCUUGUGCCCGGCAGCGAAAGGGUUAAUGCCUGCUUUCCUCUUUGGUAUCUGUUAGUUGCAGCCCAUGUUGUGAUCAGUCCAUGUCCAUGUGCGUUUUGUCCCCAAAUUUAAUAACAGUUAAUGCUAAUAAAA
Molecule: long non-coding RNA, 3964 nt
Organism: Gavialis gangeticus (Gharial)
Lineage: Eukaryota; Metazoa; Chordata; Crocodylia; Gavialidae
Exons: 2
Source: RefSeq, a predicted model, not a curated record